This 446-nucleotide ribosomal RNA is filed under the name uncultured bacterium. Its description in RNAcentral is "partial 16S ribosomal RNA". It matches the Rfam family "Bacterial small subunit ribosomal RNA", at positions 338 to 795 of the family's 1533-position model. The record is from RNAcentral.
CCUACGGGUGACAGCAGUCGAGAAUCAUUCACAAUGGGGGAAACCCUGAUGGUGCGACGCCGCGUGGGGGAAUGAAGGUCUUCGGAUUGUAAACCCCUGUCAUGUGGGAGCAAAUUAAAAAGAUAGUACCACAAGAGGAAGAGACGGCUAACUCUGUGCCAGCAGCCGCGGUAAUACAGAGGUCUCAAGCGUUGUUCGGAAUCACUGGGCGUAAGGCGUGCGUAGGCUGUUUCGUAAGUCGUGUGUGAAAUGCGCGGGCUCAAGCCGCGGACGGCACAUGAUACUGCGAGACUAGAGUAAUGGAGGGGGAACCGGAAUUCUCGGUGUAGCAGUGAAAUGCGUAGAUAUCGAGAGGAACACUCGUGGCGAAGGCGGGUUCCUGGACAUUAACUGACGCUGAGGCACGAAGGCCAGGGGAGCGAAAGGGAUUAGAUACCCUUGUAGUC